GCCUAAUACAUGCAAGUCGAGCGAACUGAUUAGAAAGCUUGCUUCUAUGACGUUAGCGGCGGACGGGUGUGUAACACGUGGGCAACCUGCCUGUAAGACUGGGAUAACUUCGGGAAACCGAAGCUAAUACCGGAUAGGAUCUUCUCCUUCAUGGGAGAUGAUUGAAAGAUGGUUUCGGCUAUCACUUACAGAUGGGCCCGCGGUGCAUUAGCUAGUUGGUGAGGUAACGGCUCACCAAGGCAACGAUGCAUAGCCGACCUGAGAGGGUGAUCGGCCACACUGGGACUGAGACACGGCCCAGACUCCUACGGGAGGCAGCAGUAGGGAAUCUUCCGCAAUGGACGAAAGUCUGACGGAGCAACGCCGCGUGAGUGAUGAAGGCUUUCGGGUCGUAAAACUCUGUUGUUAGGGAAGAACAAGUACAAGAGUAACUGCUCGUACCUUGACGGUACCUAACCAGAAAGCCACGGCUAACUACGUGCCAGCAGCCGCGGUAAUAC
RNAcentral lists this ribosomal RNA (500 nucleotides) under Priestia megaterium. RNAcentral describes it as "bacterial SSU rRNA". It matches the Rfam family "Bacterial small subunit ribosomal RNA", at positions 46 to 526 of the family's 1533-position model. The record is from RNAcentral. Lineage: Bacteria; Bacillati; Bacillota; Bacilli; Caryophanales; Bacillaceae.